AUUAGAAAUAUCAGUUCAAAUACUGUGGCAGUUUAAUCUGUCUGAGUAGAUGACUUGAUUUCUAUUCAUUACAGCUAGUUUUUUUCUUAUAAAAUCCAAGGAGAAAAGGAUCAAUAAUUGCUGUAGGAUCUAAAGAAAAGCUCAGUAUGGUAGAACUAAGCACAGAACGAAAGAAAAGGGCUUUUUUUUUUACGCAAGGAACUCCUCCUCUUAGCCACUGGGAUAAAAUUGGAGCAGCUUCAUUUUGCAUUGUAGCCGUUUUAUGUUUAUACUUUUUACUAUCCCCUUCGCCAAAUCAUGUAAAUAAGCUUUUGGGAGACGUUGAUGCUCACGACAAACUUAAGGAACACUCUUUAGAAUUUUCAGAACCAAUAAUAUACAAGGUAAUUUCUUUGUGUUGUUAUUGUUUGUGAAUGAAUAAAUAGCUAAAUAUAACAAAUUAUCCCUAGGUAACAGACAAUAUCUAUAUGGCUAUAGGGUUUGCGUUGGCCAAUUCUAUUCUCAUCAAAGCUCCUCGGGGGAGUAUCAUAAUUGACACGACUGAGAGCAUUGAUUCAGCUGAAAAAAUUCUAGAAGCAUUUUCCAAGACUGUAGAUGUUGGAGAAAUCAAAGCUAUUAUCUACACCCAUAAUCACGCAGAUCACGUGAUGGGAGCUGAAGCAUUUUUACGUAAUUCUUCGAAAAACGUUGAAAUUUGGGCUCACGAAAUGUUAAUUGAUCAGAUGGAACGUUAUUUAGUUACUUCGGACACAAUAUUUCGAAGAGCGAUAAGACAAUUUGGAAUUUUAUUACCUAAACCGUAUCAUAUCAAUUCAGGCAUUGGUCCGGAAGUUCGUAUAGAUGCUACAUUUGGCUACAUUCCUCCAAAUAGACUAUUAAAACGAGAUGAAAGUGACGAAAUCAUAGCUGGUUUAAGAGUUAAGUUGGUACACAUACCUGGCGAGACUCCUGAUCAGAUUGGUGUAUGGGUAGAAGAAUGGAAAGCAUUUUUCUGCGCAGACGACUUUUAUAGAUCAUUUCCCAAUCUUUAUGCCAUAAGAGGAACUCCUAGUAGAGAUGUAAUGAAAUGGGCUAAAUCGUUAGAUAAGAUAAGAGCUCUUAGACCAAAAUACUUGAUACCUAGCCAUACGAAACCAAUUGUUGGCGAGGAAGAAAUUUACAAUCUAUUAACAAAGUAUCGAGACGCCAUUCAAUUAGUACACGAUCAAACAGUUCGUUGGAUGAAUAAAGACAUGCACCCUGAUGAUAUAGCUCGUCGUGUCAAAUUAACGGCAUCACUCAAAACUGAUUGGCUUACAGAAUAUUAUGGUAGCGUGUUUUGGUCAUCUAAAGCGGUCUAUGCUCAUUAUAUAGGCUGGUUUGACGGAGAUAUUUCAAAUCUUGAUCCACUUACCAGAGAUGAAAGGAGCGAGAGGAUCAUUCAAUUAGCCGGGGGUGCAUAUUACGCAAAUUUAGCAGCUAGAAAGGCGUUAGUCAACGAUCUACGGUGGGCUUUAGAAUUGUCUACUCACGUUCUUAACGUUCAUCCCACUGAUACAGAGGCUAAAUCAAUUAGGCUAGAGGCUCUUAAAGCCUUCGCAGCUCGUCAAACAAGCGCCAAUUCUCGAAAUUAUUAUCUAACAACAGCUCUAGAACAAGCCGGGCUUAUAGAUACGCAUAUACCAAAACAAAGGCAAAUAAGCGCCGUUAACUCGAUGAAACCGGCAACUUUGUUCAACUUAUUUAGAUUUAAAUUUAAUAUUGAAGAAUGUGGACAUUUAACUGACAUCGCUGAGUUCUAUUUUCCUGAUUAUAAAGAAUAUAUUUAUGUACAAAUUAGGAACGGAGUUAUACUAGUUGAAAAUUCGAAGGAAAAACAGAAUCACCUGACUGUUAAUUUAACGGUCAAGGUCACAUGGGAGAAGUUUAGAGAGUUCGUUUUGGAACAAAGUUCUCCCAUAGUUACCUGGAUGAAAGGAGAUUUAACUGUAGAUGAAGGCUUAUUUAAACUUCGAAAUUUCAUGAACUGUUUCGAGAAAUCGAAAACAAGUUAAAAAUUGGAAGAAUAUUCAAUAAAACAAAAACAAAUUGUAUAAUAAUAAAGAUGACAAAACAAUGGGGUAACGACGAUUUCAUUUUUUUGAGAGUGUUCUUUUUUUGUACAUAUUUAAAGAUAAGGACUAUUUAGAGUCCUAUUUACAAGGGUCUUGGAAAAAACUCCACGAUUAAAUAAUUGUCUGGCCACAGGAUGAACAGUCCAUAAAGCUCCUUUGGCGUUUGCUGCUUUACCGACUUUGAUAAAUCCUGCAUUGACGCAUAAUUCCCUUCUAACAUUAGCCUUUAGACCAUGAGGUUCAAGGACGUUGAGAAACUUUGGCUGUUUUUCUACGAAAAUCUUGUAGAUGGCAGACAGUGGAAGCGGGUCACGAGACGACAUGAGUAUUUCAGCAAUAACGUUGGAAUAACUCGGUAACUGUCUCCUUCGAGAUAAAGUUGAAGAGUGUUGAUGUUGGUGGUGGUGACCGUUAUGUAGUUCUUUUCCAUGGUAGUUGUUGUUAUUAACGUUACCGAUUGUUGGAGGAGAAUAAGUUAUCGAAUUGUUACUUCGUCCAAUGUCUGGAGGUGAAUGACUGAGCUCUAAAGAUCUUGGCGACACCGAGAACGACUGGUCGCUUCUUUCGUCCUCCUCCUCUUCGGUAAUAUCAUUUCCUUCUCCAACAACAUCGAUUAUCUCCUCUUCUUCGUGUAAUUCUACAGCUGAAUUACUUUUCUUAAUACUCAGAUCCAAGGGCUCCUCUUGAACAAGUUCCGUCGGUUGUAUAUUAUACAUAUCUCCAUAAUAAUAAGAAGAAACAGAGUUGUAGGGAUAUGAGAUGGGGCUAAACAUCCUUAACAGUGUCCAAUCGUUGAAUGACUUGGAAUGCGUCCGUUCGAGUACUUUUAUAAAGGUGAAAAAAAAGCGUUUGAGCGUUUACGGGCAAACAGUUCAUCUAACGCUGGCAUACGGCCAACGAACAAUAGAAAUCGGUUAGAUUAAAUAAAUUAACCGUCACUAAACAAUUCAGAGUUUAGCGUCAGCCAACGCUGACAUUGAAAUUAUUCCGUUGUCUUUAUUGCCUUCUAUUCUCUAAUUGAUUUCGGCCACCCGCCCAAAAAUUUUAUCCACUAUACAGUACCGCCUCUCCCUCCCCCCCCCCCAUUCCACCCCUCCGUCCGCCCCGUCCACGUUCAAAAACAAAAAAUAAAAAAUAAAUAAAAAAUUUUUCCAUGUCCUACAUUUCGUUUUUUUAAACUAAAAACUUGAACAAACUAAAUAAAUUCCAACAAUUCUUAUCUUACUUAUACACAUUUAAAGUGUAUAUUAUAUGAAUAAAUUAUAAUAAUAUACUAAUAAUUAGCAAUAAC
RNAcentral lists this unclassified non-coding RNA (3384 nucleotides) under Dimorphilus gyrociliatus. RNAcentral's name for it is "lactamase_B domain-containing protein". Lineage: Eukaryota; Metazoa; Annelida; Polychaeta; Dinophilidae. The record is from RNAcentral.